This 93-nucleotide transfer RNA is filed under the name Promethearchaeota archaeon. Its description in RNAcentral is "Candidatus Lokiarchaeota archaeon (microbial mat metagenome) tRNA-Sec". It matches the Rfam family "Selenocysteine transfer RNA". Lineage: Archaea; Promethearchaeati; Promethearchaeota. The record is from RNAcentral.
GGCUUUGAGUGGUCAGGGUGGUCCCAGACGCCAGACUUCAAAUCUGGUCAAUCCGCGGAGGAUUGGGGGUUCGAUUCCUCCUCGAAGCCGCCA